RNAcentral lists this ribosomal RNA (453 nucleotides) under uncultured marine bacterium. RNAcentral describes it as "bacterial SSU rRNA". It matches the Rfam family "Bacterial small subunit ribosomal RNA", at positions 360 to 804 of the family's 1533-position model. The record is from RNAcentral.
AAUAUUGCGCAAUGGGGGAAACCCUAACGCAGCAAUGCCACGUGAGUGAGGAAGGUCUUCGGAUUGUAAAACUCUUUUAAUAGGGAAAAACGGCAUUUAGUCGAAUAGGCUAAGUGUUUGAUGGUACCUAUAGAAAAAGCACCGGCUAACUUCGUGCCAGCAGCCGCGGUAAUGCGAAGGGUGCAAGCGUUGUUCGGAUUUACUGGGCGUAAAGAGCGCGUAGGCGGAUGAGAAAGUCAGGUGUGAAAUCUCGGAGCUCAACUCCGAAACUGCGCCUGAAACUUCUUGUCUAGAAUCUCAGAGGGGGAAGGGGAAUUUCACAUGUAGGGGUAAAAUCCGUAGAGAUGUGAAGGAACGCUCGAGGCGAAAGCGCCUUCCUGGAUGAGUAUUGACGCUGAGGCGCGAAAGCGUGGGGAGCAAACAGGAUUAGAUACCCUGGUAGUCCACGCCGUA